GUGGGAACAUGCCCUUCGGUUCGGAAUAACUCAGGGAAACUUGAGCUAAUACCGGAUACGUCCGCGAGGAGAAAGAUUCAUCGCCGGAGGAUUGGCCCGCGUCCGAUUAGCUAGUUGGUGAGGUAACGGCUCACCAAGGCGACGAUCGGUAGCUGGUCUGAGAGGAUGAUCAGCCACACUGGGACUGAGACACGGCCCAGACUCCUACGGGAGGCAGCAGUGGGGAAUAUUGGACAAUGGGCGCAAGCCUGAUCCAGCCAUGCCGCGUGAGUGAUGAAGGCCCUAGGGUUGUAAAGCUCUUUCGCCAGGGACGAUAAUGACGGUACCUGGAGAAGAAGCCCCGGCUAACUUCGUGCCAGCAGCCGCGGUAAUACGAAGGGGGCUAGCGUUGUUCGGAAUCACUGGGCGUAAAGCGCACGUAGGCGGAUCUUUAAGUCAGGGGUGAAAUCCCGAGGCUCAACCUCGGAACUGCCUUUGAUACUGGGGAUCUCGAGUCCGGGAGAGGUGAGUGGAACU
This 516-nucleotide ribosomal RNA is filed under the name uncultured Methylocystis sp. Its description in RNAcentral is "bacterial SSU rRNA". It matches the Rfam family "Bacterial small subunit ribosomal RNA", at positions 117 to 668 of the family's 1533-position model. Lineage: Bacteria; Pseudomonadati; Pseudomonadota; Alphaproteobacteria; Hyphomicrobiales; Methylocystaceae. The record is from RNAcentral.